Molecule: long non-coding RNA, 1915 nt
Organism: Oncorhynchus kisutch (coho salmon)
Lineage: Eukaryota; Metazoa; Chordata; Actinopteri; Salmoniformes; Salmonidae
Exons: 3
Source: RefSeq, a predicted model, not a curated record
UUUUGCCUUUUGGUAGGCCGUCUUUGUAAAUAAGAAUGUGUUCUUAACUGACUUGCCUAGUUAAAUAAAGUUUAAAUAAAAAAUAAAUAUACAUCACCCUUGUCGUCCUCAAAUGCAGCCAUGGCUUCUGUGAGGAGUGUCUAUAGAAAUACUGGAAGUAUAUGGACAAUCUGCUGUGUCCUGUAUGCAGGAACGAGUGUUCUAUUGAUGAACCUAGCCUAAGUUUGGCCUUAAAGAGUCUCUGAGAAUCGUUGCAGAGAGGGAGUGAAAAGGAGAAAGUAUCUCAGGACAAUUGCCAGCAACAUGGAACUCUUCUGUUUUGAUGACAAGCCGUUCAUCUGUGUUGUCUGUCACACAUCAAAGAAACAUAAAGGCCAUGACUGCUGUCCCAUUGAGGAGGCUCUGCCUGAUUUGAAGCGUGUGAGUUCCACUUUGAAGAAGGAAUUAAAAAACAUGAACACAGCCAAGAUGUACCAUCCAACCUGGGAGGAGCAUAUACGGGUAUCUGUCAUUUAAAAAAAUAAGUUUUGAAAUGUAGAAACAUUUGAGCAGUGUUCAAGUUUGGUCAAGUCCAUUAUGGUCAAGUCCAGUGUGGAGAGGAGCAGAUGAGGGGGGAGUUUAAGACACCACCAGUUCCCGGAACAGGAAGAGACAGCGAGGACAGCUGCCCUGAGAAAGGAAGAGCAACAGAAAUGUCAAGUGAUGCGAGAAAGAGCUGAGCCGUUGACCAAGCAGAUUUCAACCCUAAUAGAGACUAUUCAAAUGAUCAAGGAAAUGGAAGUUGACAAUAUCACAUUCCUUCCGAGCCGAAAGCACAGCAACAGACACUGCAGAUGCUGAGAUAGUGUCCGGAGAAUUCAUUGACAUGGCCAAGCAUGUGGGAUCUCUGAAAUCCAAGGUCUGGAAGAAGAUGCUUCGGAUCGUUUACUAUAGAAAGUCCAUGUUUUUCACAAAUGUUGUUUUUUAAUAUCUUACUGUAGCAAAUAAGGCCACAAUACUUUGGAAAUAAAUGUAUUUUUUCAAUAGUUAUUUGAAAUGGUUUUAUCUCCCAUUACACCCACACACUUCAGUAUUAAAGUACAAUAUAAAAGUACAAUGAACUUUCCCCUUAAAGCUUCAGUGACCAUUGAUCCAAACAGCGUCUGCAAGGCUCAUACUGACUCGUGACCUGACCACUGUGACAUACAGUGAGGAGAGGCAGAACAUUCCAGAAAAUCCUGAGAGGCUUAAAAUGGGAGUGUUGGGUUCUGAAGGGUACAGUAAAGGCAGACAUUUUUGGGAUGUAGAGGUAGGAUAAAGUGAUAACUGGACCCUGGGAGUCGGCAAAGAGUCCAUUGUGCGCAGCAUGUCACUCAAAAUGUAGAUUGUGGAGCAUCAGAUAUAUUAGUGGGACAUGCGUAAACGCAGACAUCCAGAUCAAGUUGGAUGAGAGCCCACCAGUGAUCAGAGCACGUCUGGACUGUGACAAGGGGGAGCUGACAUUCUGCAAUCCCACUAAGAGCACUACUCUGUACACCUUCAAUGAUACAUUCACUGAAAACGUGUUCCCAUACUUUUACAGUACCAAUCAGUUUGUCCCACUGUGCCUUUUGUCAGUUAGCCCCAACUUUGGGCAGAACAUAAACAUGAGUGGAGACAGGUUGCUAAGUUUAUAAUAUGUGGGGACAAAUAUCUACUAACAUGUUAUUUAGUUGAUGUAUCAACUGUAGGGACCCCAUUGUGUGAACUUUAGUUGAAUCCAGUUCCGUGUAAAUAGCUGUAAGACUUGCCUCAACACAAAGCAUACUAUGGAUAUAAGUAGUGUAAUCUAAUUGAUGCCAAUGGAAUGUGGUAUGGUAACAACUGUCUAUCUCAUAAUGCUUGUACAAGUGUUUACAACAGUUGUAACAGUAUGUAAAAUAUGUAAAGUACAGUC